GAUGAAGAACGCAGCGAAAUGCGAUAGGUAAUGUGAAUUGCAGAAUUCAGUGAAUCAUCGAAUCUUUGAACGCACAUUGCGCCCGCUAGUAUUCUGGCGGGCAUGCCUGUCCGAGCGUCAUUUCAACCCUCAAGCCCCCGGGCUUGGUGUUGGGGAUCGGCGAGCCUCCGCGCCCGCCGUCCCCUAAAUCUAGUGGCGGUCUCGCUGUAGCUUCCUCUGCGUAGUAGCACACCUCGCACUGGGAAACAGCGCGGCCACGCCGUUAAACCCCCAACUUCUGAACGUUUGACCUCGGAUCAGGUAGGAAUACCCGCUGAACUUAAGCAUAUCAAUAAGCGGAGGA
Molecule: unclassified non-coding RNA, 343 nt
Filed under: soil metagenome
Description: partial contains 5.8S ribosomal RNA, internal transcribed spacer 2, and large subunit ribosomal RNA
Rfam family: 5.8S ribosomal RNA (bases 1-120)
Source: RNAcentral